UUGCAUGCAUUAGACUUACACUUUCCCUAAUUGAUGGGGUUUUUGAACUGAAGCAUGCUAGAGAAACGUUAAUGGAGUUGACAGGGCCACCAGUCUUUCGAGCCCAGGCUGGAUUGGUAGUAUAAGGCUCCGACACUG
Misgurnus anguillicaudatus (oriental weatherfish) is the source of this 138-nucleotide small nucleolar RNA. RefSeq annotates it as small nucleolar RNA U109. The record is from RefSeq and is a predicted model, not a curated record. NCBI's taxonomy places the organism in Eukaryota, Metazoa, Chordata, Actinopteri, Cypriniformes, Cobitidae.